This 253-nucleotide ribosomal RNA is filed under the name uncultured bacterium. RNAcentral's name for it is "partial 16S ribosomal RNA". It matches the Rfam family "Bacterial small subunit ribosomal RNA", at positions 524 to 776 of the family's 1533-position model. The record is from RNAcentral.
UACGUAGGGUCCAAGCGUUGUCCGGAAUUAUUGGGCGUAAAGGGCUCGUAGGCGGUUUGUCGCGUCGGGAGUGAAAACUCAGGGCUCAACCCUGAGCGUGCUUCCGAUACGGGCAGACUAGAGGUAUUCAGGGGAGAACGGAAUUCCUGGUGUAGCGGUGGAAUGCGCAGAUAUCAGGAGGAACACCGGUGGCGAAGGCGGUUCUCUGGGCCGAUACUGACGCUGAGGAGCGAAAGCGUGGGGAGCAAACAGG